CAAAGUUAGUGCACUUCUCCAAGUCCUUUGCCAUCAAUUCCUCUUCAAUCUUUAGAGAAGGCAAAAAUGAUUCUGUGGCUAAAGAUGUUGUCUAUACUAGCGGUCCUCAGAGGUGCCUGUUCCCAGGCCCUGUUGGUGGAGUCUGGAGGAGAUGUGAAAAGACCUGGAGAGUCCCUCCGUCUCUCCUGCCAAGCCUCUGGCUUCACCUUCAGUGACUACGGGAUGAACUGGUUUAGAAAGGCUCCGGGAAAAGACCUGGAAUGGCUUUCACAUAUCUUUGCUGAUUCCCGUGAAAGGUUCUACUCAAACAAAGUGAAGGGACGCUUCACCAUCUCCAAGGACAACGCCAAAAGCCAGCUGUAUUUUCAAAUGAACAACCUCAAACCAGAGGAUACGGCAGUCUAUUAUUGUACGAGACACACAGUGAGAGGAACCAAAGCAAAAACUUCCCAUUUACAUAACAGGGCUGAGAAUUUCUUUGAAACCUUAUAA
Non-coding RNA from Pantherophis guttatus, 492 nucleotides. NCBI's taxonomy places the organism in Eukaryota, Metazoa, Chordata, Lepidosauria, Squamata, Colubridae. The record is from the annotation of a RefSeq genome assembly.